Molecule: long non-coding RNA, 834 nt
Filed under: Mus musculus (house mouse)
Lineage: Eukaryota; Metazoa; Chordata; Mammalia; Rodentia; Muridae
Description: long non-coding RNA chr1:88126775-88127609
Source: RNAcentral
AUGGCUCCUGCAGCCUUUCCAACCUCCCUUCCUCUCUGUCUGGUCCUGGCCUCUGACUUUGCCCAGGCAGGCAGGCUGCUGGUGGUGCCCUUGGAUGGGAGGUAGUGGUUCACCAUGCAGAUGGUUGUGGAGAAACUAAUUCACAGAGGGCAUGAGGUGGUGGUAGUCAUCCCAGAGGUGAGUUGGCAGCUGGGCAAAUCCCUAAAUUGUACAAUGAAAACAUAUGCAGUCUCUCAGACUCUCAAGGAUUUUAACCGGGUGUUUACUGAAUCUCAAUGGAAAAUCCAAGAAGAGGGAACACUUCUCUACUGAAGAGUCCAGCCAAAGGUUUCUUUGAACUCUUAUUUUCACACUGUAGGAGUUUGUUUAACGUCAAGAAGUUAGUGGAGUACUUUAAGCAGACUUCUUUUAAUGUUGUGUUUUUUGAUCCUUUUAAUGUCUUUGGUUUAAUUGUAGUCAAGUCUUUCUCUCUCCCAUCCGUGGUCUUAAGCAGAGGAAUAUUUUGUUAAUAUCUUGAAGAUGGCACCCAGUGUCACAGUCCUCCCUCUUUUGUCCACAGAGCUCUCUUGAAAUACACAGACACCAUGAUUUUCAAGGAGAAAAAUAAGUGACCUUUAAAUGGGGGAGCAUGCAUUUUGUCAUACUUUUUUCAAAAGUGCUGCAGAUAUUGCCUGUGGCGUUCUCCAGACACGAGUGAGUAUGACAGACCUCUUCAGCCCAGUGUCCUUUUGGUUGUUAGGCAGAGACUUUGUCUUGGAGUUCCCCAGACCCAUGAUGCCCAAUGUGAUCUAUGUUGGUGGGAUCAACUGCCACCAGGGAAAGCCACUUUCCAAG